AGCAGAGUGGUGCAGUGGCAGCAUGCUGGGCCCAUAACCCAGAGGUUAAUGGAUCAAAAUCAUCCUCUACUA
Molecule: transfer RNA, 72 nt
Filed under: Nestor notabilis (Kea)
Lineage: Eukaryota; Metazoa; Chordata; Aves; Psittaciformes; Psittacidae
Rfam family: tRNA
About the family: Transfer RNA (tRNA) molecules are approximately 80 nucleotides in length. Their secondary structure includes four short double-helical elements and three loops (D, anti-codon, and T loops). Further hydrogen bonds mediate the characteristic L-shaped molecular structure. tRNAs have two regions of fundamental functional importance: the anti-codon, which is responsible for specific mRNA codon recognition, and the 3' end, to which the tRNAs corresponding amino acid is attached (by aminoacyl-tRNA synthetases). tRNAs cope with the degeneracy of the genetic code in two manners: having more than one tRNA (with a specific anti-codon) for a particular amino acid; and 'wobble' base-pairing, i.e. permitting non-standard base-pairing at the 3rd anti-codon position.
Source: Rfam by way of RNAcentral